CUUGCUAAGGCCGAUGGCGACCGGCGCACGGGUGAGUAACACGUAUCUAACCUGCCGUCUACUCUUGGACAGCCUUCUGAAAGGAAGAUUAAUACAAGAUGGCAUCAUGAGUCCACAUGUUCACAUGAUUAAAGGUAUUCCGGUAGACGAUGGGGAUGCGUUCCAUUAGAUAGUAGGCGGGGUAACGGCCCACCAAGGCGACGAUCAGUAGCCGGACUGAGAGGUUGACCGGCCACAUUGGGACUGAGAUACGGCCCAGACUCC
Molecule: ribosomal RNA, 264 nt
Filed under: uncultured bacterium
Lineage: Bacteria
Description: partial 16S ribosomal RNA
Rfam family: Bacterial small subunit ribosomal RNA
Source: RNAcentral